GUGCUGGUGGAACCAGUCUCUCUAAGAAAACAAAUCAUGUAAUUCUUCUCCCGUAAUGAAGGGUUUUGUGUCUGGCAGAGAAUGUGUUAAGUUUGAAUGACAAGCUGGUUGUUAUCAGAGGGAAUCUCUUUAAAGGUCAGUUAAGCAGAGGGUGGAAUAUUUUGAUAUAAUGGGAGAACCUCAGGCCAGUUCCCACUGGGUCAAUCUGUUAUUGUCUACAACACUCAAUCAUUUCAGCUUCACUGCACCUUCUUUUAGAGAAUGGUAUACAUUUCAAAGUUAGGAAAAUACAGAUUACUAAAUUCAAAGUGUACCUAGCCACCAGAGAAAUCAUUGCAGAGAUAGUCUAGAGCAGCGGUAGACAACAGUCGACACUCCAGAUGUUGUGGACUAUAACGCCCCUGAUGCUUUCCCAACAUCAUGGCUGUAAGAGCAUAAUGGGAGAUGUAGUCCACAGUGCCAAAGGUUGAACAACCCUGGUCCAGAGAUUAUGGGUUCACUAGAGUGUGUACAAUGUAGCUAGACAAGUAUUUCUUAAAGUGACACAAAGCACCAUAACCACAAUCCAGCUGAUUGUAAUUAGUAUGGUACUUUAAAUCAGGGGUGUCAAACGGUGAAUGUGGUUUUACAAAACCGGGGCUUUCCCAGCCCGUCAGCUGCUUCUGC
Molecule: non-coding RNA, 666 nt
Organism: Pelobates cultripes (western spadefoot toad)
Lineage: Eukaryota; Metazoa; Chordata; Amphibia; Anura; Pelobatidae
Source: the annotation of a GenBank genome assembly